CACGUUUUAAUAUUAAAAAGAACAUUUUUGCAUCUAGAUAAAAUCUCAGAAUUGUUAGGUCUCUUGUUUAUAACCUGCACGUUAGUGUGAAAAAUGUAAAUGGAUAUUAAGUAGGAGCAUUUGUGAUUCAUUCCUUCUAUAUGUAUGAGCAUUUCUUUUCAACAUGUUUCUCAGCUUGCAUGAAAACUACCGUUUCGCUGCCAUGGAAAUGAGAAAUAGUGAGAGUUAAUGGAAUGAUGAAUCCCCAUUGCUUGAAGACUUUCAAUCAGAGCUGGCUGCCUCAGAGAGUUACUGUUUUCUGUGCAGGAGGAACCAGAGGAGCACCUGCAAGAAGAUUUUGCCUUCAAUAAACAGCACUUUAUUGACCAGCAGAUUGUUAUUGAUUUCUGUAUUCAAUAAAAAUGUGGUAAAUGCAGACAUUAAAUUACUCUACAGCUCUCACUUUCAGAAAAUCCAAGGCAGUAUGGAACGCUGUGAUAUGUUUUGUUAACAUAUAUAUGGUAAAGGGAGAGAAUUUGUCUGAGUAAGAGACUACCAGAAAUGUAUCUGCUUCAGUUGCUAAUUGGUUCUGUCACAUGCAUGUGCUAACACAUGUGCACACAGAGUUGUGAAGUCCAUUUAUUCUCACGUGGAUGAAAAGUUAACUGUAAGGCCACGUUAUGACAUUCAUAGGCACAGCCUUGGGAACAGCCCCUCUUGCGAUCAGACUAGAAACAAAGCAUGAUGUGGGGAAGAGCUCUGAGGGUCAUUUUGUUCAGGUUUGCAUGGGUUGGUAGGGCUUGCACAAAUAGUUGUGAUAUGUGGGAACUGGUGGAAUUUCCAGGUUUCUAAUACUGAAGCUCUUGGGAGACUCCACCUUUGCGUAGACAGCUUUGGGGUUCUUGCAGAUGAAUAUCUCAGAAUUAAGCAUCCUUCCCAUCUAGAAGUGUAUACCACGUUUACCCCCACAAAGCUUGCCUUGACCUACACCAAGUACAAAGUUACCUUAGCUCUAGAACAGGUGUGUGUGAUUGUAAACUCAUUAGUGAGAUCUGGUGUGAGGAGGAAGGCAGGUGGGAGUAACAGUAAAAGUAUAUAUGAUGUCAGUCCCUUCUAUGUAUUGGGUAAGGUGAGGUUUCUUUUUUUCUUGUUCUGAUAGCUCUGGGUUUAGAAAAGAAAAAAAUGCCCUUGCUUUACUAACUGUAUGAUUUCUUCCCUUUCAGUUCUGUAACUUACAGAUACUGGAUUCCUGAUUCUCCUUCCAUGCUUGUGGAAGUCAGGACAAAUUGAUUUUGAGCUCCAUGGGAUUACCUGGUGGUGGGGCUGUGGAAAUGAGAUGUUUGCCUUUCUGCCUGCUCCAGCCUUCUGUAAUUCCAUUCCUUCACGUGCUGUUUUUUUUUGAUGUGGGUCAGAGAACAUGCUGUGGUGACCUUGCUCUGCUACUGCUGCCUACAUGGCUGUGCUGGGGG
This 1448-nucleotide long non-coding RNA is filed under the name Gallus gallus (chicken). RNAcentral describes it as "lncRNA (ENSGALG00010022905.1)". The record is from RNAcentral. Lineage: Eukaryota; Metazoa; Chordata; Aves; Galliformes; Phasianidae.